CAAUGGUCCAGUAAUGCCAGCCUUUGGACACCAAGCCUGCUACCUCCAAGUGACAGCCAACUGACCAGGAUUUUGUAAGGUCCUUCCCCUUAUAGGAAGGACUCCCUCCAUGCUGCACCAUCCCCCCUUUCAGGGCACUCCUGACCCAAGGGUGGGUAGGGCACGUCCAU
Phyllostomus discolor (pale spear-nosed bat) is the source of this 170-nucleotide long non-coding RNA. RefSeq lists it as uncharacterized. NCBI's taxonomy places the organism in Eukaryota, Metazoa, Chordata, Mammalia, Chiroptera, Phyllostomidae. The transcript is spliced from 3 exons. The record is from RefSeq and is a predicted model, not a curated record.